Molecule: long non-coding RNA, 1099 nt
Filed under: Anas platyrhynchos platyrhynchos (common mallard)
Lineage: Eukaryota; Metazoa; Chordata; Aves; Anseriformes; Anatidae
Description: lncRNA (ENSAPLG00000028681.1)
Source: RNAcentral
UAUAAUAAAAUCUGAGAGACAUUUCACGUUCUAUUCCAUAGCUUCUAAAGACUUAAUUGUGCCAUUAACUCUAUAACCUUGUUCUAAAGGUAACUUAUGGUUCAUGAAGUUCUUUUGAAAGAAAUAAUCCUAGAAACUUUUUGUAUGAGAUGGUUUUCAAAAUUUUCCUCUGGCUAUUAAUUGUUAUUUAGUUCAGCAAUAUAUAUGACAUGGCACUACAUUUAAUUAUAUUAAUUAUAUGCAAUAAUUCUGACAGAAGAGAUACCAUUUCCUUUACCUGAAACUGACUAGAAGUCACUUCAACUAAGAAAUGAAAAAUUGCAAGGUGAAAGAAAAGGACAUCAGAGAAAAAUAUGGAAAAGACAGGAAAGAAAGAAAGUGGUGAGGAAGAGAGAGAAAAAAUGAAAGGAAACAGCCAAGACAGAGAAACAGAUCUUGUUUUUCUUGACUUUUAAAGCUGUCCUUUUUGUUUUGCAGUAUUUUAUUUGUAGAGGACCAUCAUGCAUGCUUUCCAUCUACCAUUAGUAUAAGGAAUUCUGCUUCCUAUGGACUACAUUGAUAAUGUGUCUCCAUGGAUGCAUUCCAGAGUAGAGUCAUUGGGAAAUCUACUGGAUGUUCAGCUUUUCUAAACUAUAAGUGUCCAAGAUGUCUUUCUCAAUGUGUGCUCCAAGAAGUAGUGAGUGGUAGCUGGUACAAGCAUCUUCAAGGAAUGACCCGGAUUCUUUGAAAUUUGGAGUGCCUGUCCUCUCUCGUCUUGAUCUAGGCCUAGGGUGGUAUUGAAUUUCAUUUUACAUGAUCUCCAGCCCUCCUUUUGGAAUUUGAUAAAAGGAGCUUAAAAACCUACCACAGCCCCAGACAUAGAUUCAGAGUUUGCUAGGAGCAGCAGAGGUAGGUGCCUACUUUACAGAGCCAUCAGAGUCCUAAAUAAGAGAAAAACAUAAGCUCCUUAUUUAAGCUAUGAGUAUUUUUCCUCAUAAAGUGUUACUUUUCAUUAUUAGUUGUAUAUUGAGACAGGUUUUGGCAGACAUAUGAGGUAUGUAUCAUGCAUCAUUCAUUGCUGCCUUGAGUCUGAGCAAUAAACAUUUUGAAAUAAAGACCA